UACGGGGGGAGCAAGCGUUGUUCGGAUUUACUGGGCGUAAAGGGCGCGUAGGCGGUCGUGACAAGUCACUUGUGAAAUCUCCGGGCUUAACUCGGGACGGUCAAGUGAUACUGUCGGACUAGAGUACAGAAGGGGCAACUGGAAUUCUCGGUGUAGCGGUGAAAUGCGUAGAUAUCGAGAGGAACACCUGCGGCGAAGGCGGGUUGCUGGGCUGAUACUGGCGCUGAGGCGCGAAAGCCAGGGGAGCGAACGGG
RNAcentral lists this ribosomal RNA (254 nucleotides) under uncultured bacterium. RNAcentral's name for it is "partial 16S ribosomal RNA". It matches the Rfam family "Bacterial small subunit ribosomal RNA", at positions 524 to 776 of the family's 1533-position model. The record is from RNAcentral.